Molecule: ribosomal RNA, 301 nt
Filed under: uncultured bacterium
Lineage: Bacteria
Description: partial 16S ribosomal RNA
Rfam family: Bacterial small subunit ribosomal RNA
Source: RNAcentral
CAGCCGCCGCGGUAAUACGUAGGGUGCGAGCGUUAAUCGGAAUUACUGGGCGUAAAGCGUGCGCAGGCGGUUUGUUAAGACGGAUGUGAAAUCCCCGGGCUCAACCUGGGAACUGCAUUCGUGACUGGCAAGCUAGAGUAUGGCAGAGGGGGGUGGAAUUCCACGUGUAGCAGUGAAAUGCGUAGAGGUGUGGAGGAACACCGAUGGCGAAGGCAGCCCCCUGGGCCAAUACUGACGCUCAUGCACGAAAGCGUGGGGAGCAAACAGGAUUAGAUACCCGGGUAGUCCCUGUCUCUUAUAC